AUUACUAGAUGAGCCCCUUCUUUGGGUUUUAUCUUUUCUCAGUGUCUUCAGUGGUGCAACUGGACAGUGGUUGUUGUUGCUUCAGGACAUUAUUUGAGCUAUAGUGAAUAGUAACACAAAUCAUAACCUCAUUCUCAAUUUUCUGUCUCUGUACUCAGAAACAUCUCUUGCUGCAUACAUGGCCUAUCUUUACAAUGUUCUGUUUUGCCAUAAGUAGAAUAUAUUUCAGGUUCUUUGGAGCUGUGAGAAAAAACCCUUCUGGGCCUCUCCAGGCAAGCUUGUGAUCAUGGAGGUAAAGUCCGAAGAGGAAGAGGGGUGAAGGAGGACCCAAAGACCAUUGGGAAGGCCCAAAGUGGGAACUGUGGGAUUGCUCCACGCAGUUCCUAUACUUGAGGUCUGCAAGGGAUGGGAAGAGAGAGAGCCCAGCAGAUGCUGAGUCCUCAGGAGGAGAGACCAAUGACUAAUAAAUCAGGUGGUUCUUCCUUCAGUAUAUAUCACAUACUGGGAUCAAUAAGAAGCAGAAGAAAAAAGUUCUUUUGUUUACAUGAGGGUUCCACAGGGAAGCCGCUCAGUUCUCCAGUGCACUGAACAACAUCAACCCUUAGGCUGAUUUCUCCAGCCCAACCUCCAAUACUUAAAACAAACCAUGAAAGAAUCAGAGACUAAUUCACAGCAUAGCCAACAACUGCAUUACAACAGAGAAACCUCAACCAGCAACUGAAGUUAUUCUUUUGCCAAAGGAACAGGCAACUGCUAGCCACGUAAAAUUAGCACAUCACCUAGAGAAAACUGUUUCAGAAAGCAGUACGUUUCAACCUCUGGUUCACGGCUCAUAGUAAGUUCUUUAGUUGCUAUGUUUUUCUCUGCCUACUUCUAUCUGUAAUGAAUCUACCGCACAAAUCUGAAACUCCUAUGCAUAGAAGCACCCAACACAGGGAAGCAGAUGUAAUUAAACUUCCAAAGACUGGUCACAUUUUCAGUUGGUUGCAGCAAGUGGAGAUGCCAACGCCAGACAAAAUGGUCUUGGAAUAAAGGUCGAGCGCCUCCUCA
Molecule: long non-coding RNA, 1050 nt
Filed under: Calidris pygmaea (Spoon-billed sandpiper)
Lineage: Eukaryota; Metazoa; Chordata; Aves; Charadriiformes; Scolopacidae
Description: lncRNA (ENSCPGG00000013518.1)
Source: RNAcentral